Molecule: ribosomal RNA, 681 nt
Filed under: uncultured bacterium
Lineage: Bacteria
Description: bacterial SSU rRNA
Rfam family: Bacterial small subunit ribosomal RNA
Source: RNAcentral
CAUGCAAGUCGAGCGGUAAGGCCUCUUCGGGGGUACACGAGCGGCGAACGGGUGAGUAACACGUGGGUGACCUGCCCUCAGCUCUGGGAUAAGCCUGGGAAACUGGGUCUAAUACCGGAUAUGACCUGCUGUUGCAUGACGGUGGGUGGAAAGUUUUUCGGCUGGGGAUGGGCCCGCGGCCUAUCAGCUUGUUGGUGGGGUGAUGGCCUACCAAGGCGACGACGGGUAGCCGGCCUGAGAGGGCGACCGGCCACACUGGGACUGAGAUACGGCCCAGACUCCUACGGGAGGCAGCAGUGGGGAAUAUUGCGCAAUGGGCGAAAGCCUGACGCAGCGACGCCGCGUGGGGGAUGACGGCCUUCGGGUUGUAAACCUCUUUCGACCGGGACGAAGGGUGACUGACGGUACCGGUAGAAGAAGCACCGGCCAACUACGUGCCAGCAGCCGCGGUAAUACGUAGGGUGCGAGCGUUGUCCGGAAUUAUUGGGCGUAAAGAGCUCGUAGGCGGUGUGUCGCGUCGGUCGUGAAAACUUGGGGCUUAACCCUGAGCGUGCGGUCGAUACGGGCAUCACUUGAGUUCGGCAGGGGAGACUGGAAUUCCUGGUGUAGCGGUGAAAUGCGCAGAUAUCANGAGGAACACCGGUGGCGAAAGGCGGGUCUCUGGGCCGAUACUGACGCUGA